This 253-nucleotide ribosomal RNA is filed under the name uncultured bacterium. Its description in RNAcentral is "partial 16S ribosomal RNA". It matches the Rfam family "Bacterial small subunit ribosomal RNA", at positions 524 to 776 of the family's 1533-position model. The record is from RNAcentral.
UACGUAGGGUCCAAGCGUUAUCCGGAAUCACUGGGCGUAAAGCGUGCGUAGGCGGCGUGUUAAGUGUGAUGUUAAAUCGCGGGGCUCAACCCUGUCGGUGCAUCGCAUACUGGCAUGCUAGAGGGAAGCAGAGGCAAGUGGAAUUUGUAGUGUAGCAGUGAAAUGCGUAGAUAUUACAAGGAACACCAAUGGCGAAGGCAGCUUGCUGGGCUUCUUCUGACGCUGAGGUACGAAAGCGUGGGGAGCGAACAGG